UUCACCUCUUCCCAUUCCGAACAGAGAAGUUAAGCCCCUUAUGGCCGAUGGUACUGCACCACAAUGCGGGAGAGUAGGUAGCUGCCAUAU
Molecule: ribosomal RNA, 90 nt
Filed under: Chitinophaga jiangningensis
Lineage: Bacteria; Pseudomonadati; Bacteroidota; Chitinophagia; Chitinophagales; Chitinophagaceae
Source: RNAcentral